GGCUUACCAUCAUUAUUUCCACAUAAAGCUUCACAUUUCAAUCUCUCUCACAAAAUUCUGAUACAAUAAUGGCUUCAGUGAGUGUUUUUUUUGUGCUAAUGAUUAUUAUAUCUUUCAUGGCAUCACCUUUACAUUCAUCAUAUUCACAAACACUUCCUCAAAUUCCUACAACUCUAUCAACUUCACCUGAAACACUGAAAGAUCCUUUCCAAGAAUUAUCACCAGACAUUGCUCCACUUUUUCCUUCUUCUCCUGAUAGUGUGUUACCAACUCCUGGUGGCUCAGAAAUUCCAACUAUUCCUUCUAAUCCAAGUUCAAAUCCAGAUGAUAUUGUUGCACCAGGACCACUUUCUGCAUUUUCACCAUUUGGAUCAAUGUCUUCUAAUGCUCCUACAACUAGAGUUUGUAACCAAGCCAUAGCUGCUAUUGCAGGUUUUGUAGCAUACUGGUAUAUGCAGUAUCUUAAAGUUUGAGUCUUUUUUCUCUUUAUUGCAUGAUUACUUUUUCAUCACCAUCUUGUAGUAUAUUAUUAUAAAAAUAUUCAACAAAUUUGACGACUGUGAUUAAGG
This 569-nucleotide long non-coding RNA is filed under the name Lupinus mutabilis. Its description in RNAcentral is "partial ncRNA". Lineage: Eukaryota; Viridiplantae; Streptophyta; Magnoliopsida; Fabales; Fabaceae. The record is from RNAcentral.